CCUCCCAAGUGCUGGGGUUACAGGCGUGCACCACCACGCCUGGCUCCAUAGUAAGUUUGAAGCCAGCCUGAACACAGCAAGAUCCUACCUAAAAAAAAAUAAUGAUAAUAAUAUAAUAAAAGUAAAGUAAGUAAGGCGCUAAAUACAGGGUGCUCAAGCGAAUUUCCUCGUUUUGUCCAACAUAAAGAUUUGCCUUCUGGCGCCCGCGUUUCCGUCUGGGCUACGCUACUGCGCACGCGCAUGGGUAGCCCUCAGUCUCGAACUGCGACGCAGCCGCCAGGGGGCGCCAGCAGAUAGUGGCCGCUAUUCCAGGUUCCCAGAGGCCUAGAUGGAGACGUAGAGCGAGCGCAAGCUCCAUGCGCAUGCGCGCAUUGCGUCCUCCCAGCCAGCAUGGCGCCGGUGGAGCACGUUGUGGCGGACGCCGGGGCUUUCCUGCGGGACGCGGCUCUGCAGGACAUCGGGAAGAACAUCUACACCGUCCGGGAGGUGGUCAGCGAGAUUCGGGACCGGGCCACGCGCCGGCGCCUGGCCGUGCUGCCCUACGCGCUGCGCUUCCGGGAGCCGCUGGCGGAGUACGUGCGGCUGGGUGAGUGCCGGGACGCGGCCGACGGCGCGCAAGGAACCCAGUGGUACAGCGUUCCCCUGCCCGCUUCCCGAAGGCCCUGGAUGCGAUUCCCGCACUGCCCCCGCCCCCAAAUCCAAGAACCCAGACCUGUGACUUUUCCUCGAUUCCUUAGGGUGAUGGUUGUGUGUGUGUUUUUGUUUGUUUGUUUUGAGGCAGGCUCUCACUACAUAGUCCAAACUGGCUUUGAACUCGCGGCAGUCCUCCUGCCUCAGCCUCCCGAGUGCUGGGAUUACAGGCGCACCACGCCCCACCCGUUUUGGAUAGAGUCCAGUCUCAAACCAGGGAAUGGUGUUUUCAGGCCUUAAUUAGACCUGAAAGAGUCACAGUUCUCUUGUUAGGAAACAAGGCAGUGACUUCCAGGAAAGACAGUCAGCGGUUUCAAAAUGUUUUUGAAUUUAGAGGGAGAUUUUUACUUUUUAAGAAAUGUGAUCAGUGGCACAGCGCCUGCCUGGCAAGUGCAAGGUCCUAAGUUUGAUUCCUGGUACCAAAAAAGAAAAGGGAAAUGUGAGUAGGGCCAGGGAUAUAGCUCAGCGACACAGGCACCUGACUGGCAAGCGCAAGGUCUUGAGUUUGAUUCCCAGUACAAAAAAAAAGCAAUGUGGGCAAUAUUAUUAUUGUACCUUGUGCUAUUGUAAAAGAAAUCUUUCUGUGACAAUGAGAAAUGUUCAGUUGUCCAUUUGCGGUGGACACAAUAGUAACAGCUGGCAUGUACUGUAUAUUAAGCACAGAUUUACAUUUUUUAUGCUUCAGAAACUGUCUACUGGCCUGGUG
Molecule: long non-coding RNA, 1396 nt
Filed under: Chinchilla lanigera (long-tailed chinchilla)
Lineage: Eukaryota; Metazoa; Chordata; Mammalia; Rodentia; Chinchillidae
Description: lncRNA (ENSCLAG00000022815.1)
Source: RNAcentral